Molecule: ribosomal RNA, 90 nt
Filed under: Erinaceus europaeus (western European hedgehog)
Lineage: Eukaryota; Metazoa; Chordata; Mammalia; Eulipotyphla; Erinaceidae
Source: RNAcentral
CAUACCACCCUGAACAUGCCCAAUCUCAUCUGAUCUUGGAAGCUAAGCAUGGUCGGACCUGGUUAGUACUUGGAUGGGAGAAACCAAGCA